AUGUUGCAGUGUUUCGAAGUUGCUGAAAACAAACACUUGAAGAACAUGUGGCGAACAAGACAUAUGUGGGCUCCAGCGUACUUCAAGAACAAUUUCUUCCCGUUCGAAAGCACAACAGGCAGGUCCGAGGGGCUCAACUCAUAUUUCAAGACAAUGAUUCGUCCAGCUGAUUUUGUAUGGAGGUUUGUGCAACAGUACAAACUGUGCCAAGAAACUGUGCUUGAUCGUGAGGACAAUGCUGGCUUCACUGGUGAAACGACUGCUCCUCCACUAUACUCUCGAUACAACAUUGAGCGCCAAGCUGCUGAUUAG
This 312-nucleotide ribosomal RNA is filed under the name Triticum aestivum (bread wheat). RNAcentral's name for it is "partial small subunit ribosomal RNA". The record is from RNAcentral. Lineage: Eukaryota; Viridiplantae; Streptophyta; Magnoliopsida; Poales; Poaceae.